GUCGGCGUGGCGGAACGGUAGACGCGCCAGACUUAGGAUCUGGUGGGCAAUCCCCGUGGAGGUUCGAAUCCUCUCGCCGACACCA
This 85-nucleotide transfer RNA is filed under the name Candidatus Dormiibacterota bacterium. Its description in RNAcentral is "tRNA-Leu". It matches the Rfam family "tRNA". From Rfam's summary of the family: Transfer RNA (tRNA) molecules are approximately 80 nucleotides in length. Their secondary structure includes four short double-helical elements and three loops (D, anti-codon, and T loops). The record is from RNAcentral. Lineage: Bacteria; Bacillati; Candidatus Dormiibacterota.